This is a non-coding RNA of Ictidomys tridecemlineatus (thirteen-lined ground squirrel), 2417 nucleotides long. Lineage: Eukaryota; Metazoa; Chordata; Mammalia; Rodentia; Sciuridae. The record is from RefSeq and is a predicted model, not a curated record.
UUAGAGAUGGGCCUCAUUAAGUUGUUGAGGCUGGGUUUGAACUUGAGAUCCUCCUACCUCAACCUUCUGGGAUUACAGGUGUGUGCCACUGUACCCAGCACUAAUCUUUUUUCUUUAGGGUCUAAUCUACUUGUAAUUCCUUUCAGUACAUUUUUUUUUCAUCUUCAGAAUUCUGAUUUGAAUCCCAUACACACACUGCUAGGAAUUGAACUGAGGGCCUCAAUAUGGUAGGCAAACACUAUCACUGAGCUACAUCCCCAUCCCUUUUCGUUUUAUUUUGAGACAGGGUCUUGUUAAGUUGCCCAGGCUGGCCUCAAACUUGUCAUCCUUCUGCCUUGACCUCCUGAGUAGCUGGAAUUACAGGUUUAUGCCACCAUAUCCAACUUCUGAUUUGAAUCAUUCCCCCUUAUAUCAUUACUUAAAAUUUAUUUUCUUCUUUUGGAGGGGAGUACUGGGGAUUGAACCCAGUACAUAAGCAUGCUAGGCAAGCACUCUACUACUGAGCUAUAACCCCAACUCUUUAUUUUCUUGACCAUCUAUAAUAUAGUAACUUUCAAGGGUGUUUUGUUGUCGUUGUUGUUUGUUUGUUUGUUUGUUUUUUGGAAUUGAACUCAGAUGGCUUAACACUGAGCCAUACCCCCAGCCUUCUCUUAUUUUUUGAGACAGGGUCUCAUUAAGUUGCUUAGGGCCUCCUAAGUUGCUGAGGCUGGCUUUGAACUUGCCUUCUGCUUCAGCCUCUUUCCUCCUGCCGGUUGCUGAGAUUACAGGUGUGCACCACCGUGCCUUGGUUCAAGGUUCUUAUAUACCAAUAACAUUAAUUAAUUACUUAUUUGAUUUAUUCUAAUAUGUAACAGCUUCUAAAUAAGCUCACUACAAUUACUAGAACCAUGUUUACUAAAAACUGUACAUUUUUUUUAACUUUUCUUUUAAGAUAUCUCACUAUGAGUCAGACACAGCAACACAUGCAUUGCAGCUACUUGGAAAGCUUAGGCAAAGGUAUCACAAGUUUGAGGUCAACCAGGGCAAUUUAGCGAGACCCUGACUGAGAAUUAAGAAAGAAAAAUAAAGGGUGGGGGGAUGUAGCUCAGUGGUUAUACGCCCUUAGUUGUCAAUGUCAAGGGAAAAAUAGAUUAAAUAGGCAACUGAUUCAAAAAAUCAUUUUUUUUUUGGUUAAAAGUAUGUAUAGGGAGCAAAUGAACCCCAAGGCCCCCAAAUGGCAAUUAUGAAGAUCUCCCUUGGAUUUCCCUUCCAGAAAGAGGUUGCCGCUCUGCUGCCAAGAGGGCAGUUAGUUGACCUGGUAAUGCCUUCAGAUUGUCUUUGGCUCUUGUUUCACCUAGCCAAUUGAAUGAGCACAUCCAAGAGCCUGGCCAUCUCUACCCAGUGGGGAAAUUCUCUAACAGCUGUUAGAUCUGCAUCACAACCUCAAGAUUUCUCCUGCCCAUAUACAUUCCUUCCUUGUAUUUCACAGGUAUUACCAUUCCCACUCCCCAUUUAAGAAAUUAAUUGCACCUCAAACUCUGAGUCCUGCUUCCCAGAGGAUCCAACAUAGAUGAUUCCAAGAAUGAUCCAACAGGGCAGGUGGUAAGAUGAGUUUGGAGCUGGAUCACUUUCUGCCUGGCUGAUCACUAGAAUAGGUGAUCAUUCUGAAUAGGUUGUGGGGCAUGAAUAGACCCCUAUGUAAAAUGGGGUCUAUAGCUAAAACUAUGUGUAGUGACUAGGGAGAGUGUUCCUGUGGGGAAGACCAUACUGCCAUGGCUGUUGCAGUAAUUUGAGUAUGAAAAAUUCAGGGAACAAGUUAUAGGGCAAUGGCAUUGAUUGUUUUUUACUAAAUUGUAAUGGCACCUACAGAAGGGAAAGGAGAAGUUGAGCAUAAUAACAAACAAGUGACAACUAAUUGAGCACCUUAUCACCUGAGUUAGAUUUAAAAAAAAUAAAAUAGAAGGCCUGAGACCAAACUCAAGACUUAAUAGUUUAAAAAUAUUAGCAUUAAGAUAUUUAAAGACAUUCAUCACAUACUCCUAUAUACAUGUCCUAGGUUUUUCCAAUCAGUGUCUUAGUUUAACAGAGCUUUCUCAACUGGGCGACUCCCCUAGCCAAGACAGUAAAUGGAAAUCAAACUGCAUGUUGGAGAUGGUGAGGAUGAGAUCACCCUUGAGGAUUCCAAAGAUGGAGAGGUUGGUCUCUACUGAAGAAUAUGGAAAUAACAAACCCCUAGGAGAAAGGGAGAGUAAUGGACUUUAUCUACGACUGUUUCCUGACUGCCCAAGAUCUUCCUCCAGCUAUAACCAACAUAUUUCCUAAUAAGACUCAGCCCCUCUAAACCCUAUAAAACUCAGAUCCUUAUUAGAGCCCAUUUCCAUUUUCCCUCUUGAAAAUGUGCCCCUCUGCUGCUUAAUAAAGCAUUUCUGAUCUGUUGA